This 113-nucleotide ribosomal RNA is filed under the name uncultured bacterium. RNAcentral describes it as "partial 16S ribosomal RNA". It matches the Rfam family "Bacterial small subunit ribosomal RNA", at positions 1360 to 1482 of the family's 1533-position model. The record is from RNAcentral.
CGGUGAAUACGUUCCCGGGUCUUGUACACACCGCCCGUCACACCAUGGAAGUUGGUUCUACCUUAAGCCGCCAUUUCAAACCGGCGACCACGGUAGGGUCAAUGACUGGGGUG